RNAcentral lists this long non-coding RNA (409 nucleotides) under Coturnix japonica (Japanese quail). RNAcentral's name for it is "lncRNA (ENSCJPG00005000496.1)". Lineage: Eukaryota; Metazoa; Chordata; Aves; Galliformes; Phasianidae. The record is from RNAcentral.
CUGGAACCCGGAUGGAUGUGAUCUGAUAAACCUCAGUUUGUUCCUGCUGCCCUACUUGUACAAAAUAAUGCCAAGUUACAAAAUGCUUCCUUCUAGAUGACAGAUGUUCUGGACGUAGCACCCAGGUUGCCAACUCAUCAAAUGGAGUGAUCAGUGGAGAUGGUCAAAGGCCUCUGAAGGAAGGUUGGGCUCUAAAUAAAAGAAAACAUCAGAAGACACAAAAAUUGUGGCAAUGUAUUAGUGGAUAUUUCUUGCAUGAGCUUCAGUCUUUCUCAUCUGGAAGCACAAAGAAGUCCCCACAAGAAAUGAACUAUGAAGGUAUUCCAACUAAGGUUAGACCAAAUCUAGAAUGUAGGGGGUUUGGGUAAUGUGUUUAAUGCCUAAAGGAAGAACAGAGAAAUGAGAGCUC